UCCUGAGUCAUCGCUUUGGGCUGGGGCCAGGGGAAGGAGGUGCCCUCAGCCUUCCUCAUUCAGGAAGGCCUGGGAAAGGCAGAGAAGAGCCAGGACAGGGGCUGCCGGUGGCAGGUAAUGCCCGGAACCGGCCUGAUCCCCACCCUUCCAGGUGGGCUCUGGCUGGCCCGAGGGCCCUGGUGCAUUCAUGUCAGCCAGCAGACCCUUAGGAAAGUCUUUGGAGUUCCUGGGACAGGAGGGGUGUUAGGCACAGAGGGAGGAGAGAGGCGGGCGAGGAGAGGAGAGGCGGGGCCAGCUCUAAGUUUCACUUCCUGUCACUGCUGAAGCAGCAACCCAGCCCCAGUGUGUGGUGUGUGGCCCAGCCCAGCUGCUGCUGCUCUGCUGCUGCUCCGCAGGUACCCCAUGAUGGGCUCACAGACCCCACCCCCAGAGCUUGUGCAGACCCUUAUCUUCUUGGACCUGGAGGCCACCGGACUGCCCUUCUCCCAGCCCAAGAUCACAGAGCUGUGCCUGCUUGCUGUCCACAGAUGUGCCCUGGAGAGCCCCUCCACUUCCCAGAGUCCAGUGCCCCCACCACCCCGUGUGGUGGACAAGCUCUCCCUAUGUGUGGCCCCGGGAAAGGCAUGUAGCCCCACAGCCAGCAAGAUCACAGGCUUGAGCACAGCUGUGCUGCAAGCGCAUGGACGUCAGCUCUUCGAUGACAACCUGGCCAGCCUGCUCCUUGCUUUCCUGCGGCGCCAGCCAGCACCCUGGUGCCUCGUGGCACACAAUGGUGACGGCUAUGACUUUCCCCUGCUGCAGGCAGAGCUGGCCAUGCUGGGCCGUGCCAGCAUCCUGGACAGAGCCUUCUGUGUGGACAGUAUGGCUGCCCUCAAGGCCCUAGAACAAGCUGAGAGCCCCUCGGUGCACAGCCCGAGGAAGAGCUACAGCCUGGGCAACAUCUACACACGCCUGUACGGGCAGGAGCCGCCAGACUCCCACACAGCUGAGGGCGACGUCCUGGCCCUGCUCAGCAUCUGCCAGUGGAGGCCCCAGGCUCUGCUGCGCUGGGUGGAUGCUCACGCCAGACCCUUCAGCACUGUCAAGCCCAUGUAUGAGGCCACUGCUUCUCUGAGGACCAGCCUGCAGCCAUCUGCUGGUGCAACCAUGACACGCCUACGUGCUGCCAAGAACACCAGUGCCAGCCCCAGCAGGAGCAAGAGAUCCACAGCUCUUCCUACACCCAAGGACCCUGGAGACCUGCCCAGAGGAGCCCACAGUGGGGCAGGGGCUGGUGGGCAUGCUUACGGCGUGGCCGGCGGCACAUCUUGUACAAGCAGCAACAGGAACAGGUGAAGCAGACGAUGAUGGUGACCACGGAGAGCACAAAGAUGGUCAGGCCAACGGCCACAGUCGCUCCAAACCUGCCCGAGAGCCAGUGCUGAGCCAGGGCCGCCCACCCCACCCUGGGGCCAGGUGCCCAGCCUCACCCCUUCCCAGGAGCCAGCGCCUCACUGAAGCUGACAAUCAAAGAAGAAAAGAGAACCCUGCCAUUUGCCUCAUCAGACAGUAAAACUUUCAACAAAGAAAACAAAGUUUUCAUUAAAACUACAGCCACCACACCCUACUAGGCCCAGCAGCCUGGCAGGAGUGGGACAACUCCCUCCUCCAGCUCAGCCUCAGCCCUCUUCCCUUCAGUACCCAGGAGCCCAGGGCUGCCUCCCACCCGUAGUCUCCUGCCAGGGCCUGGUGGGCAGGUGCUUGUCUUCCCCCAUCUCCACCUUCAACUAGUUAUUCCUGUUCACCCCCAGACCUCUACUGGAAGCGUCACUCCCUCUAGGACAACUUUCCUGAGCUUGACCUACCUGGUGGUUGUUCCCAUUGCUGGGCCAGAGUGGGGGUGCGGCAGGUGAAGCCACAGUUGGGGAAGCCUGUUGUCCCAUCAGAGUGCUGGUCAGGUCCAGGCUGCUCCACUUCCAGCCCAGCUUCCUGACAGUGCACCUGGGGAAGCACUGUGAUGCUCCUAGCUCAAG
Molecule: RNA transcript, 2012 nt
Organism: Ochotona princeps (American pika)
Lineage: Eukaryota; Metazoa; Chordata; Mammalia; Lagomorpha; Ochotonidae
Gene: TREX1
Gene name: three prime repair exonuclease 1
Exons: 4
Source: RefSeq, a predicted model, not a curated record